AUUAGUGGCGAACGGGUGAGUAACACGUGAGUAACCUGCCCUUGACUCUGGGAUAAGCGUUGGAAACGACGUCUAAUACCGGAUACGAGCUUCAGCCGCAUGGCUAGGAGCUGGAAAGAAUUUCGGUCAAGGAUGGACUCGCGGCCUAUCAGCUUGUUGGUGAGGUAAUGGCUCACCAAGGCGACGACGGGUAGCCGGCCUGAGAGGGUGACCGGCCACACUGGGACUGAGACACGGCCCAGACUCCUACGGGAGGCAGCAGUGGGGAAUAUUGCACAAUGGGCGCAAGCCUGAUGCAGCAACGCCGCGUGAGGGACGACGCCYUUCGGGUUGUAAACCUCUUUUAGCAGGGAAGAAGCGCAAGUGACGGUACCUGCAGAAAAAGCACCGGCUAACUACGUGCCAGCAGCCGCGGUAAUACGUAGGGUGCAAGCGUUGUCCGGAAUUAUUGGGCGUAAAGAGCUCGUAGGCGGUUUGUCGCGUCUGCUGUGAAAACGCGAGGCUCA
This 506-nucleotide ribosomal RNA is filed under the name bacterium EP2.36. Its description in RNAcentral is "bacterial SSU rRNA". It matches the Rfam family "Bacterial small subunit ribosomal RNA", at positions 91 to 611 of the family's 1533-position model. The record is from RNAcentral.